This 289-nucleotide unclassified non-coding RNA is filed under the name Hevea brasiliensis (rubber tree). The record is from RNAcentral. Lineage: Eukaryota; Viridiplantae; Streptophyta; Magnoliopsida; Malpighiales; Euphorbiaceae.
GCGGGAGCUGAUUGAUGGCGGCGAUUCGAGUGCCGGUCGGAUUCUACAUCGUAAUGUCAACGCCAGUUCUCAAAGGUUUUAGUAAGCCGAGUUGCAGUCUUUCGAUCAGUAUAAGAAGUUUGAAUACCGAUCGGUGCUGUGAUGAACUAUCAUCUUACAAAUUGCACCUGGGGGUUUCUGCAGUUAGGACGCUGAACUUCUUGUGUAUUGGAAGUAAAGGAGUUAAAUACAUAGAUUCAGUAACAUUCACUCUGUUUGAUGAGUUUCUUCUCUAUCAUUUUGAAUAAAU